CUAACUCCUAAAAUUUGUAUGGAGUUGGAACAGCGGCCUUACGUUUGCCGCUAGGGCCUCUGCUUUAACUCCAUACAAAUUUGAGUUA
This is a non-coding RNA of Bombyx mori (domestic silkworm), 88 nucleotides long. The record is from Rfam. NCBI's taxonomy places the organism in Eukaryota, Metazoa, Arthropoda, Insecta, Lepidoptera, Bombycidae.